RNAcentral lists this long non-coding RNA (1963 nucleotides) under Helianthus annuus (common sunflower). RNAcentral describes it as "hypothetical non coding rna". Lineage: Eukaryota; Viridiplantae; Streptophyta; Magnoliopsida; Asterales; Asteraceae. The record is from RNAcentral.
UUUGUGUGUGUUCUGGUCGUACAAAACACAGGAGCCAAGAAGGGCUCUCAAGCUCAAACCCUAACAAGCAUAAAAUCAACAAAUUGAAGGGGUAAAUCCAACCUAAAUCGAAAUCCAAGCACGAAUUCAUGAUCACCUCGAUGAAGGGAUCAUAAGUUUGACUCUUAACAAGCUAGAUGGAGGCUUGGGGAAAGAAGCGGGUCAAACGGAUCGUAUACGCGGAAAAGAGCAUAAUCCGGAUACUAGGAAUAAAUAUCGAUUGAAUGUUGACAUCGCUAUUACUUAGCGGCUACUAAGGCAAGGUAUCGAAACGGGUCAAUAUAUUGAUCCGAGCCAGGUUUGUAUAAUGAUUCAACUCGUCGUGUAGAACUUGAGGUUCUAUAAGUGUUAGACAUGGAUAAAAUAUAGAUAUUCAGUUAUCAUUAAGGUACACCGAAUAAAUUGGGUCAUGAUUAUAGUAUUUUAGAAAUAUAAUGGUUUCUAAACAAGAUUAUAGUUUUAAAAGUGGGAUUUUGGUCGAACAUGGCUUUAAAGGUCCUUCGUCGUAAUAGGAGGGGUAAAAGUGACCAAAAUGCCCUUAUAAGUGAAAUUAAGCAAACGAUCCCUAAAGGUUGCUUAUAAAUGAGUUUUGUAACCAAAUAGAUACUUGUAUUAAGUAUAAAAAGUGAAAUAUGUGAAUCUUUGGGUCAAAUGACUCUAUAUGAGUCUUUGCCGUAAAAUGAUAAUCCGAGGGGUAAAACUCGGAAUAAAUAGAUCUCCACAUUAAAUCCUCCACACAUAUAGUUGUGGUGGAAGAUAAAUUGAUAAAUAAUAUGGAAGUACAAUGCUAGAAGUGAAUGGGUAUGAAUUAUGCGGUAAAAGUGCAUAAAUACCCUUAACGGGUCAAAAUAAGCUUCUAAGUCAAAACGGGUUAAAGAAGGUAUACAAACCCGUGAUUUUGAGCCUAAUAUAAUAGGAGAUAUUGAAAUUAUGAAGUUCAUGGGUUUAAAGAUCAAAUAGGCAUGUUUGUUUGAUAAAAUCACGAAUGGGUCAAAAUUUGGUAAAAAGGGUAAUAAGCCAAAGAUUUAAAAGUCUUAAAUUUUUGUUAAUCCGGAUGUCGGAUUUUAACUCCAUAUGAUGGAGAAUUAAAUUACGGACGCGUAGGAAAAAGAAUCAUGUAAAACGGAUUAAAAACGAGAGAGUUAUGUCCGUUUCGGUAAGAACUAAUGAAAAAUUAACGUGCAGAGUUGACACGGGCGGGUGACUUUUUGACACGGCCGGGUGGCUGGGCUGUGAAAAAUAUAUGUUAAGCUGACACGGCCGGGUGACUUUUUGACACGGCCGGGUGAAGGGGCUGAAAACAAAACAAAAAUAGUUUCUUGUUUUGUUACGUUAAGCACGGAACUUGUUUAUACUCGAUUAUUAAAGUGUCAAAACUAAUUAUUUACAUGGUUUUGACCGUAGGUGAAGAUGGACCUAAUCCGGAUGAAGAUCAAGCUGCGAGCAAGAACCGAACACACGUUAAAUGAAGCUUCCGCGUCAAAUCUUGAUUUGUGUUGAUAUAAGUGAAUUAUGUAAACACUUAUAAAUUGUUUUUGAAAUGUUGUAAUCAUUUGGGAAUGCUGGUAUAACAAGUUUUGUAAAGACACAUUUUAGCAUAAAAAUUUGUAUCUUUUAUUAAAAUAUUAAUAAAAUCAGACGGGCGUUACAACUUCGUUAGGUGUUCUAAGAGUUUGUUUUAAAAUGAGGUUAAAAUAUGUUAAUUUGUUUGAAACCGAUUAUUGACCGAAAUACUUAUAUAUGUUUGAAUUGAGAAAAACUCAACAUAGUGCUUUAUAUAGUAAAAAAGGAAAAGAAACAUAAUCAUAUAUGGCAUAUGGUCAGUAGAAAUUGUGUUUUUAUGUCAUGUAGAGCAUUCAAAACGUAUAUCAUAUAUAUGUAACUAAUGAUAUCACAUUAUCAUGUAAAAACCGCUUAAAAUUUA